Bos taurus (domestic cattle) is the source of this 457-nucleotide long non-coding RNA. NCBI's taxonomy places the organism in Eukaryota, Metazoa, Chordata, Mammalia, Artiodactyla, Bovidae. The record is from Ensembl.
CACUAAAUGUCUCCCACUGCUCGCUGCUCUGAUUCAGCUGGGACCAAGUCUGGUUUAGGGACAGCAUUGACAGAGAUUUGCUUGGAGGAGCCUCUGCAGGAGAGCCUGAAUAACCUACCUCAACUGGCUGAUCCCCAACGUCUGCUGAAUCUUCCAAACCAAUCAGUUUGGGCAUUAAGCUUUCAGGGAGUUUUUCUCUUUUCUUGAGGUGGAGGUGGAGAAUGUCCUACCUACACUGUGUCACCAGCAGAAGAACCUGAUUGUGCUUCACCAAAGGGAGCCCAGAAUGGCCCAGGCUCUGCAAGAGGCCUCUCACUCUUUCCUCCACUGGGAUGACGGUUUUGAUUCCUCCAUGUGUGUGGAGAAGUUGGUGGAGACUGCUGUGGGGAUCUUCCUGACCCAGGGAUCAAACCGGCAUCUCCUGCAGCCCCUUCGUUGCAGGUGGAUUCUUUACCUC